GUCCUGCUGCGGCUCUCGUCGGAGGCGACUUAUCCUCGCGACCUUAAUUCACUCGAAGGGAUCUGUCCCUGUUUGGGCUCGAGGGCCCGGGCACACGGAGCCCACCUGGCUACCCAGGUCGAGAGGAUUGAACAGUCCUCCACGGUUCUUGCGGCGCCGCC
RNAcentral lists this non-coding RNA (161 nucleotides) under Brevundimonas sp. Its description in RNAcentral is "6S / SsrS RNA". It matches the Rfam family "6S / SsrS RNA". From Rfam's summary of the family: E. coli 6S RNA was the first non coding RNA to be sequenced, but its function was unknown until recently. It consists of 184 nucleotides that fold into an extended hairpin structure with a large single-stranded internal bulge. The record is from Rfam by way of RNAcentral. Lineage: Bacteria; Pseudomonadati; Pseudomonadota; Alphaproteobacteria; Caulobacterales; Caulobacteraceae.